Molecule: ribosomal RNA, 354 nt
Filed under: Salmonella enterica
Lineage: Bacteria; Pseudomonadati; Pseudomonadota; Gammaproteobacteria; Enterobacterales; Enterobacteriaceae
Also listed under: 3 other names
Description: bacterial SSU rRNA
Rfam family: Bacterial small subunit ribosomal RNA
Source: RNAcentral
AAAUUGAAGAGUUUGAUCAUGGCUCAGAUUGAACGCUGGCGGCAGGCCUAACACAUGCAAGUCGAACGGUAACAGGAAGCAGCUUGCUGCUUUGCUGACGAGUGGCGGACGGGUGAGUAAUGUCUGGGAAACUGCCUGAUGGAGGGGGAUAACUACUGGAAACGGUGGCUAAUACCGCAUAACGUCGCAAGACCAAAGAGGGGGACCUUCGGGCCUCUUGCCAUCAGAUGUGCCCAGAUGGGAUUAGCUUGUUGGUGAGGUAACGGCUCACCAAGGCGACGAUCCCUAGCUGGUCUGAGAGGAUGACCAGCCACACUGGAACUGAGACACGGUCCAGACUCCUACGGGAGGCAG